Molecule: ribosomal RNA, 851 nt
Filed under: uncultured Pseudomonadota bacterium
Lineage: Bacteria; Pseudomonadati; Pseudomonadota
Description: bacterial SSU rRNA
Rfam family: Bacterial small subunit ribosomal RNA
Source: RNAcentral
AAGAUGCGCUAUCGCAUAUUUUAGAGAAAGCAGGGAUCGCAAGACUGCGCUUUGGAGCGUCGAUGUCUGAUAGCUAGUCGUGAGGUAAAGGCUUACCAAGGCUUCGAUCAGUAGCUGGUCUGAGAGGACGACCAGCACACUGGGACUGAGACACGGCCCAGACUCCUACGGGAGGCAGCAGUGGGGAAUUUUGGACAAUGGGGGCAACCCUGAUCCAGCCAUGCCGCGUGAGUGAAGAAGGCCUUCGGGUUGUAAAGCUCUUUCAGCCGGAACGAAAAGGUUACGGUUAAUACCCGUGACUAAUGACGGUACCGGAAGAAGAAGCACCGGCUAACUACGUGCCAGCAGCCGCGGUAAUACGUAGGGUGCGAGCGUUAAUCGGAAUUACUGGGCGUAAAGCGUGCGCAGGCGGUUUUGUAAGUCAGAUGUGAAAUCCCCGGGCUUAACCUGGGAACUGCGUUUGAAACUACAAGGCUAGAGUGUGGCAGAGGGGGGUGGAAUUCCACGUGUAGCAGUGAAAUGCGUAGAGAUGUGGAGGAACACCGAUGGCGAAGGCAGCCCCCUGGGUUAACACUGACGCUCAGGCACGAAAGCGUGGGGAGCAAACAGGAUUAGAUACCCUGGUAGUCCACGCCCUAAACGAUGUCAACUAGUUGUCGGGUCUUAACGGGCUUGGUAACGCAGCUAACGCGUGAAGUUGACCGCCUGGGGAGUACGGUCGCAAGAUUAAAACUCAAAGGAAUUGACGGGGACCCGCACAAGCGGUGGAUUAUGUGGAUUAAUUCGAUGCAACGCGAAAAACCUUACCUACCCUUGACAUGUACCGAAGCCCGCCGAGAGGUGGGCGUGCC